UUCACUCUAGCUACUCUACUUAGCAAAAGGGAAAAGGAAAAGAAAAAGCACAGCUGUGAAGAGGAGUGAUUGUUUCUAUUAUUUAUUUAUUAUGAACGAUAACAAAUCCAGCCUUACCCUCUUCACUUGAAUUCUCAUUCAUCUUCUUCUUCUCUCCGAAAAUGGAGUGACCGAGUGAGAGCAUUGUUGUAAUGCUCUUUCCUCUAUCACUCUCUGGCCACCACCACCAACAACCUCAAUCCCCCCAAAUUUGAGGUUCUUCUUCUUCUUCUUCUUCCUCCUCUGUCUCUGGUGAGGUCUUUCUUGACCAGCUUCAGUUAUAAAGAUCUAUUCACGGCAACUACAGUGGCAUCCCUUCCUUGCCUGAUAUGAAAUUCCCUGUUCCAUCAAAGAGGGCUGCUACCGCUAGCAUCAAAAUUAAGUCAUCCAAAGUCUUGGCAUCCGAAAGAAAGAAGUCUCCGAUAUAAUAAGCAGGAAUUGGACGCUUCCUUAGUUGUAAUAAGGAAGGUAAACAAAAUGGAUGCUACUGAACCCUUCAAUGUUCCUGUUAAUCCUGAAGCUCUGGGAAUUCCUGACUAUAUGCAGCAAUCUUGAAAAGAGCGAUCAGUACAUGAAUUAUGAGGAUGUUUAUAAGGAUGUUCAAUACAUUUGGGACAAUCAAUAAAGGUGACUAUAUCUUGGAUCUUAUGAGGCGAGUGAAGAAGAAUUUUAUGAAGUACUGCAGCUGGGUUAUAUUAUGAACCAUCAAAAGGGACUAAGGGAGUAGAGGAUGCUGCAUUAUCUGGUGAUGGAAAAGUAGCGAAGGGUGGUCAAGCCAAGCAGAAGUCAAUGAAACGUCAUGAGCAUAGUAUUGAGCAAGAGUAUACUGUUACAGAAAGACAUUAACUGGUGGCUUCCUUGGACCACAGAGGAUCACAGAAAUUGCUGAAGUGGUUGUUUCAUUUGAUUCCAAGCCUAUCCAGGUGAGAAAUGAUCAUCACAAAUAUCAAUAUUUUUUUUGAAAAAAUAAUACUUUAAGAUUUAAGAAACAGAGAACACCAUUUGCAACCCUACCGAAAAAUUAAACCGAUAUUUUUCAUGCUCCCAUAUCCAUUUAUCUUAUCUCUAUGAAUCAUUUUGUUGUUCACUCUUUUCACGCAACAGAAACCAACAAAGUCUCUAAUUACUUAGAUAGUUUUAAAGCAUAGUCUAACAAACUUUUAUUACUUUAAAGAUUCUUGAGAUGAAAUAAUCUCUUUAUAGAAAAAAUUAAUGUAUUUUAUAAUAAUAUUU
Long non-coding RNA from Arachis duranensis, 1272 nucleotides. RefSeq lists it as uncharacterized. The transcript is spliced from 6 exons. The record is from RefSeq and is a predicted model, not a curated record. NCBI's taxonomy places the organism in Eukaryota, Viridiplantae, Streptophyta, Magnoliopsida, Fabales, Fabaceae.